Molecule: long non-coding RNA, 482 nt
Organism: Acinonyx jubatus (cheetah)
Lineage: Eukaryota; Metazoa; Chordata; Mammalia; Carnivora; Felidae
Exons: 2
Source: RefSeq, a predicted model, not a curated record
UUGGCAACAUGUAUUUGGCACAUGAAAGUACUGGCCAGACAGGUUGGGAUGUGCAUCUGUGGGUGAUUGUCAGCACACUUGGAUCCUUUCCCUCACCUGAGUCAGAAGGCUUUGCGGGCAGAGCCACCUUCUCAGGCAUCCGGAGGCUACCAGGCAAGUUGGAGAGCUGCCCCUGUCCCUCUGAACUGACUGUCCACAUUAGAGGGUGGGAUCGCCCACCUCUGCCCCCAGGCCAGGCUCACACCUUGAGACCUACGUUCUCAAACCCAAGUGAGACCUCAGACAGGUGAACGCAAUCAUUUUGAAACACCCUGCAGAUUCCAAGCGGGGCAAAGAAAUGCAACUUUUUCCCACGUUCUGUUCGGUCAACGAGGAUAGAGGGAUAGAAACAAGGAGAGGAAAACCUCAAGGAACAGGCCCAAUCCAACCGAGGGUGCUUCGUGAUUUCUUUUAACCAUCAUGUUAAAGUGGCUCUGUUUGUU